GACGAACGCUGGCGGCGUGCUUAACACAUGCAAGUCGAACGGAAAGGCCCUGCUUUUGUGGGGUGCUCGAGUGGCGAACGGGUGAGUAACACGUGAGUAACCUGCCCUUGACUUUGGGAUAACUUCAGGAAACUGGGGCUAAUACCGGAUAGGAGCUCCUGCUGCAUGGUGGGGGUUGGAAAGUUUCGGCGGUUGGGGAUGGACUCGCGGCUUAUCAGCUUGUUGGUGGGGUAGUGGCUUACCAAGGCUUUGACGGGUAGCCGGCCUGAGAGGGUGACCGGCCACAUGGGGACUGAGAAACGGCCCAGACUCCUACGGGAGGAAGCGGUGGGGAAUAUUGCACAAUGGGCGGAAGCCUGAUGCAGCAACGCCGCGUGCGGGAUGACGGCCUUCGGGUUGUAAACCGCUUUCGCCUGUGACGAAGCGUGAGUGACGGUAAUGGGGAAAGAAGCACCGGCUAACUACGU
RNAcentral lists this ribosomal RNA (467 nucleotides) under uncultured bacterium. Its description in RNAcentral is "partial 16S ribosomal RNA". It matches the Rfam family "Bacterial small subunit ribosomal RNA", at positions 28 to 506 of the family's 1533-position model. The record is from RNAcentral.